Perca fluviatilis (European perch) is the source of this 2116-nucleotide long non-coding RNA. RefSeq lists it as uncharacterized. Lineage: Eukaryota; Metazoa; Chordata; Actinopteri; Perciformes; Percidae. The record is from RefSeq and is a predicted model, not a curated record. The transcript is spliced from 3 exons.
UAAAUGCUAAAAUGCUCACAGGGUUCCUCCAGCUGUGACUUCUACCUUUUACACAGGAAUUGUUACUUCCAGGGAGGUGUGUGAGGACUUUCCUCUGUUUGCGACCGUUAAUCUCUGUAACAGUUGUGACUGCAGAGCCUCAUUCAGCUCAGAGUGUAUGAAAACGUCGAGGGGCGCGGCGACAGAGAGGUUGAGGUUGAGCGGACAACAGGUUAUAUCCUAGACCUAAUGUCUAUGGGUUAUAUGAUGCACGGGGAAAUAAAGUAGCAGAAGUUGAACCUUUUGGAGGACUUUGCGGUGCACAAGACUCCGAAUAUCAUUUACACAGUGAGGUUACAAUGAGAACGGCUGUUGAAUAAUUGAUGACCAGUUUCGAGAGAGCGACCAAGUGACCAGGUCUGUUGGUGUGACAUAUUGUCAGGGCGUUGUCUUCUUUAAUCAAGGAGAUCUGAUGGCCCUCAUGGAAAUUCUGGGUGCCUACCGAGCAUCUGACAGGCCGACUUGCCAACAGCUGUUGUCAGCAUCAUCAAUCAAGAAAAGAUUGAAUCCAUCUCAUCUCCAGCAUAGCCAACUUGACGUCAUAACUGAACAACUCCACUGGAGCCACACUCGGAUCCUUGUUUGACAGACACUGUGACGGAGACUGUUAAAUGUAUAACGGGAGCGGUGUUCAUAUGAGCCUGGAAUAUCCAUUCCUCAAAUUUUGCACCACACUGACAAAAUCUUGCUGCAGGUUUAGCAUCUCCCAUACAUUACAUACAUGCUAAUUUAAAGAAAUAACCUGCCAAAAGUCAAUAUCACCAUUAUAGAAUUCACUUAGACAGGUGGCUCUGAAAUGUUUGUUGCAUGCUCAUUUGCAGAGACCAGCAUCUGUAGUCUACAUUGAUUCACAGUCGUGACAAUGGAUUCCUAUGGUGACCCAGGUCCACAGCAAAAAACAAAAUGUCCAGUAUCGGUAUGAUUGCAGCUGCACAGCAUGUGUCUUUUAUCUUAGAUAACAUACCCAUGGUAUGACUACUGUGCAUCCCAUGUGAAAGCUGUUUGUCUAUGAAAACACACAUGAGGACCAUGAAACAAGUAAGGGAUAAUCAAGAGCAAGCGGCUCAUUAUUGGGAAUUGAACCCGGACAGGGUGAUGCAGGACCCUGACUACUUAUUACACUGCUACUUAGCCUAGCCUACUAAAGAAAUAAAAAAUUUGACACAAAAUAUUAAUUUAAAAUUGGUCUGCCAGAGUCUAUGAUCAGAACUGUGUCCAUAACAGUCUGUUAUUCAGAAAUAACAGACCAAAUUAUGUCCUAAUUGACCAAUCAGAAUCAAUUCAAGCCAACAAAACUAUGUAAUAUUGUAAGUAUAAUGGAGUCUAGUCUUCAACAAAACUAUUUAGGGAUUUUAUAGGACAUGGGCGGAUGACGACAUUUAGGUCACAGGGACCCUCUCGGACACAGAAAGUAUGAAGCUCACUUCAACCCCAGUCUAGGAAGCUGCAAGGCAAAACGCCGCUGAUUCAUGGUCACAGACUAUUUUUGUUAUCUUUUGGCAUUGGGAAUCUAUUUCAGCAAGGAUAUUUUCUGUGGUGUUCAUUUUGUGUUUUUAUUCAGACACUGCCUCUGUGCGUUCAACGGGAGGUAGCCCUACACACUCACAUGGACAAAAAUCGGACAUGCCAGAGCUCUGUGCCAGUGAGCAUCGUCCAAUCUUAAGCACUGGCUGGCAUGGUGACUCAGAGGCUUCUGAGGAUAACUCUGAAAGAGCAUACCUUUUUACUGAGAUACGAAAACAAAUUUCAAAAAGAGAACAGUUGGCUUUGAAUAAAGUGUUCAGACGUAAAGUCUCAUCAACCAAGCAUGGGCAUGGAAAGGCUGACAGCUUAAUGGAAUUGUUAGUUCAACUAUGAGAUGCAUGAGUGUAUUAUUGGAAAAGCAAUGAAAGAGAUGCUUUGCUAACAAAAAAUAUGACACAACAAUAUGGCUGACACCUUGUUCACAGUUCAAUCUGUCACAGUUGGAUCUGUCACACAGAGAUGACAUGUUUGCAUGAGCUGCACGCAAUAUGUGAAAAAGUUUAAUUAUGGCAGUUUCUAUUGUACAUACUUAGUCAAAGCAAGUUAAUACUGG